RNAcentral lists this long non-coding RNA (745 nucleotides) under Pan troglodytes (chimpanzee). Its description in RNAcentral is "long non-coding RNA NONPTRT016358". The record is from RNAcentral. Lineage: Eukaryota; Metazoa; Chordata; Mammalia; Primates; Hominidae.
UGAUACUACUGUAACAGAUGCUCUUCAGGAAUUGACAAACAAUUGUGGAGGUUGGCAAUUCCAAAAUCUGAGGAGUAGGUAAACUGGAAGACUAGAGACCCUGGGAAGAGUUGAUGUUACAGCUUGAAUCUGAAGGCAGCCUGCUGGAAGAAUCCCCUCUUUCUUGUAGAAGCCCCUUGACUGGGCAAACUUCAAACAAGUGACUGAGCUCCCUUAGCUGCCACUGAUUGGACCAGGAUGGACAACAAAUGUAGGAGGAGUUCAUCUGGAUCUAGCCUGAGCCAGUCAGAUGUCCCGUUUGAAUCCAUGCCUAUAGAAAUACAAAAAGUGGAAGCCAGAGGAUGAUGGAUCCUUGAAGUAAUAAGUCAGCUCUGUGGAAGUUUGAGUGACUCAUUGCAGAGAGGAAUUGAUGAAGUCAACAGCUGCUGGAAAAACUUCUUUUUCCUUAAUAGCUGUAUCAACAUGUGGUUGCUAUUAUUCAAGUAAGAAAAAUAUGUAUAUCAAACAUCCAUGGUAGUCCUUGCUAAAAUUUUCAUUAGAGAAACUCAUGUUUUGACAUUAAAAAAAGUUCAAAUGGGUACCUUAGAGGACGUUUUGUUGGAGAACAAAAUCAUGGAGAAAUAAAGUCUAAAAAGAAAAACAAAUGGCAAGCAUGUUGUUAAUAAUGCUGUAAUUUAUUUCAGAGUGGGUUGGGUGAUUUUCUUCAUGGCAUUAUUAGUGGCACUGCAGAAAUUUGGCACCUCAU